UAAUCUCACUACGACCACUUUAUUGUUGGUUUGUAUGUGGACUUGGAUGUUGCCGUGUAACAAACGGCUCGUCUGAAAUGCCUGAGUGUACCCUGCUUUUGCGGCGUAUUCGGUGUGAUAAAUCUUCACCGGAGUUGACUUUCGGGUCGCGCUUGUAUUGUCGGGCUCUAUGCUUCCAACCGUCCUAACAAGACAAUCUUUGACA
RNAcentral lists this unclassified non-coding RNA (205 nucleotides) under uncultured Sebacinales. Its description in RNAcentral is "sequence contains ITS2". The record is from RNAcentral. Lineage: Eukaryota; Fungi; Basidiomycota; Agaricomycetes; Sebacinales.